Physella acuta is the source of this 367-nucleotide long non-coding RNA. RefSeq lists it as uncharacterized. Lineage: Eukaryota; Metazoa; Mollusca; Gastropoda; Physidae. The record is from RefSeq and is a predicted model, not a curated record.
CCGGAACUAGAUCCAACAGAAAACAUAAUAAAUCGAUUUGGUUCUCUCAACAUGGAGACAGGAAUAAGACAGACACAGGGACAAAGAUACCAACAAUGUUUUAAACUUGAACACUGCAAUCAACUGAUUUACAACCCUCUGUAUUCAAGUGGCUAGAGUACUACCAUGUGUUUUGUGCUUAUGGGUUUAUGAUUACAGUAAAAAAUAAAACCAAGUGCUGUGAUGGGUUGAAACAAACCAGGUACAUGGGACAGAUGGAGAGAUCAUGAGUUUCUCUGACCUUAGCAUAGGAAGGGAUAGUGUAGUCAAGUUCAAUACAAUGCUCAGCCACCUUUAUUUUCCCAACCAUUAUUAGAACUUGAGACUA